UCCUCCCUGAAACCCUAGCCCCCGUGUCGCUGCGCAGCCUCACCCUCCUCGCGCCGCCUCUCCCCGCCCCACCGAUGCCCUGCAGCGCCGCUCCAUCCUCCGACGCCUGUCCUGGCCCCGACACCGCCGUGCGUCGCCGCAUGUCCUCCACUGCCUUUCUCUCUCUCUCUCCUUGCUGCCGGUGCCGCUGAGCUCGAGCUCGAGCUCAAUGGUGAGAGGCUCAGUACGUCGACAACGAGUCGGUCGAUCCAACAUUCAAUCGGGUUAGGUCUUCGUCCUUCUCACUACCUCGUCGUCGAUUUACCUGUCUACUCAAUACAAGCUCCACGCUGCCUUCCGAUCUGGUGGUAGCUGCCGUGCAGCGAUCGGAUCUGGCGAAGGGAGGAGGAGCGCACGGCGGCGUCGACCUGAAGUAGGUUGCUGGCGGCGUCCCCAGCGUGGUGGUGUAGGCCGAUGGGCCCAGGAGGCGGACGCCUCGAGCUUGCGAGAAGAUGGCGUCGGCACGGAGUUCUCGAAGGCGAGGAGUCGGUCUGGCGGCGCAUGACUUGAUUUUCGAGUGAUGUGGGGGCUCCAUGAGCAGUGGCAAGCUCCUGUUUUUUUCUGGUCAUCAGAGGGAGGAGGAGUUGUCUCCAUCGUCUAGCCGUUCUCUGGAUGCAUCAAGCUUGCCCUCAUCGCAUCACGCCAUCGUCCACUUGUAUUUGAUUUUCAUUUCUAUUCCCCACCAAGAUUUGAGGUGUUUGUUUUGUGUGAUGCCCUGCCUACAAGGUGUUCGUUGUUUUUCCUACAAGCAUGGUGAUGUGGCGAUCUUAAAGCUAUCAGUUACGCCUGCAUGACCUGUAAUGUAACCUCUCAUUUAUUGCACGUUUGGAUGCAACAUUUAGGUGGCAAGGAGAUUAUACAUUGGCGAUAGCAUGGAGCAACAGGCAGAAAUGCCAUUCUUUGUUCAUUUUAUUUUCCUUUUUUUUUUAGUUUGAUUAGAUUAUGGUGCUUAAGGAGCUGGAUUUGCUGUUAAAUCUUAAAUGAUUUAAACAGCGGGCUAUGGGUUCACUAUUGGCUAGAGGUGUUCAGAUCGUUUAAUUCUUACAUGGCAUUUCUUUUGGGUCCUGCAUCUAUAAUCCUGGUUGUCUUUCUGAAUUGAGAUAAUACAAAGCAUGAGCCUAUAUGGCUCUUUCUGAUCACG
Long non-coding RNA from Oryza sativa Japonica Group (Japanese rice), 1180 nucleotides. RefSeq lists it as uncharacterized. The record is from RefSeq and is a predicted model, not a curated record. Lineage: Eukaryota; Viridiplantae; Streptophyta; Magnoliopsida; Poales; Poaceae.